GGGAGCUUUUGGGGGUGGCACAGACCAGGGGGUAGCGACUGUUUACCAAAAACACAGGUGCAUGCGAAGGCGCAAGCCGCUGUAUAUGCACUGACGCCUGCCCGGUGCCGGAAGGUUAAGAGGAUCCGUCAGCCUUCGGGUGAAGCGGUGAAUUCAAGCCCCGGUAAACGGCGGUGGUAACUAUAACCAUCCUAAGGUAGCGAAAUUCCUUGUCGGGUAAGUUCCGACCUGCACGAAUGGCGUAACGACUUCCCCACUGUCUCGACCAGGAGCUCGGCGAAAUUGCAGUACGAGUAAAGAUGCUCGUUAAGCGCAGAAGGACGAAAAGACCCCGGGACCUUUACUAUACCUUGGUAUUGGCAUUCGGUGUGGAUUGUGUAGCAUAGGCGGGAGGCCGAGAGGCGCGGUCGCCAGAUCGCGCGGAGCCGUAAGGUGAAAUACCGCUCUGUUCGCAUUGGAUGUCUAACCUCGAACAGUCAUCCUGUUCAGGGACAGUGCCUGGCGGGUAGUUUAACUGGGGCGGUUGCCUCCCAAAGAGUAACGGAGGCGCCCAAAGGUCCGCUCAGCCCGGUUGGCAAUCGGGUGGCGAGUGCAAGUGCACAAGCGGGCUUGACUGCGAGGACGACGGUCCGAGCAGGGACGAAAGUCGGGACUAGUGAUCCGGUGCCGGUGUACGGACGCGGCAUCGCUCAACGGAUAAAAGGUACCCCGGGGAUAACAGGCUGAUCAUUCCCAAGAGUCCAUAUCGACGGGAUGGUUUGGCACCUCGAUGUCGGCUCGUCGCAUCCUGGGGCUGGAGCAGGUCCCAAGGGUUCGGCUGUUCGCCGAUUAAAGCGGCACGCGAGCUGGGUUCAGAACGUCGUGAGACAGUUUGGUCUCUAUCCUCUGCGCUCGUUGGAAUGCUGAGGAGGCCUGCCCAUAGUACGAGAGGACCUGGGUGGACGAACCUCUGGUAUGCCGGUUGUCACGCCAGUGGCACGGCCGGUUGGCUACGUUCGGAAGGGAUAACCGCUGAAAGCAUCUAAGCGGGAAGCCUGCUCCAAGAUAAGCAUUCCGUGGAACCUUCGAGUUCCUGUAGUCCCCAUGCAGAACACGUGGUCGAUAGGCCGGACGUGGAAGCCCCGCGAGGGGUGGAGCCGACCGGUACUAACGGACGAAAGGCAACACUAA
RNAcentral lists this ribosomal RNA (1170 nucleotides) under Bifidobacterium longum. RNAcentral describes it as "bacterial LSU rRNA". It matches the Rfam family "Bacterial large subunit ribosomal RNA", at positions 1762 to 2925 of the family's 2925-position model. Lineage: Bacteria; Bacillati; Actinomycetota; Actinomycetes; Bifidobacteriales; Bifidobacteriaceae. The record is from RNAcentral.